GCCGGGCUGGCGGAAGGGUAGACGCAUGGGACUUAAAAUCCUGUGGACGAAAGUCCGUGCGGGUUCGAUUCCCGCGCCCGGCACCA
RNAcentral lists this transfer RNA (86 nucleotides) under Synergistaceae bacterium. RNAcentral's name for it is "tRNA-Leu". It matches the Rfam family "tRNA". Rfam says of the family: Transfer RNA (tRNA) molecules are approximately 80 nucleotides in length. Their secondary structure includes four short double-helical elements and three loops (D, anti-codon, and T loops). Lineage: Bacteria; Thermotogati; Synergistota; Synergistia; Synergistales; Synergistaceae. The record is from RNAcentral.